GAGCUGACUGAAGAAUGACCAUUGUAUGGCUAACAAUCUUUGACAUUCUAUCAAGUCAGGUAUCUAUUAUCUUGGACCUGAUUUUGCUAUAGUAGGGAGAAGGGAAAAGAGAAGUUGGGUAAGAUGAUAGCGCAUGGUUAGAGAAAAGGCGCACUUACCUGUGGCUCAGUAGCAUGUUGAGUUCAUCCAGGUGCACAGCAUCAGGAAAGACCCCUUGCUGCAAUGAAGGGGACAUUUUGAUUUGUGAUCUGCGGACUUCAGCCCGUCAACAAUGGUCACGGAUGCAGCAGAACAGCAGCACAAGUAGCAAAAUAUGUGACCACAGGAAAGAGAGACUGGAUCAAACACUGUGUCCUGCAAAAGCAAGAAC
Molecule: long non-coding RNA, 370 nt
Organism: Panicum virgatum (switchgrass)
Lineage: Eukaryota; Viridiplantae; Streptophyta; Magnoliopsida; Poales; Poaceae
Exons: 4
Source: RefSeq, a predicted model, not a curated record